RNAcentral lists this ribosomal RNA (404 nucleotides) under Actinomycetes bacterium. Its description in RNAcentral is "Actinobacteria bacterium partial 16S ribosomal RNA". It matches the Rfam family "Bacterial small subunit ribosomal RNA", at positions 355 to 776 of the family's 1533-position model. Lineage: Bacteria; Bacillati; Actinomycetota; Actinomycetes. The record is from RNAcentral.
UGGGGAAUAUUGGACAAUGGGCGCAAGCCUGAUCCAGCCAUGCCGCGUGAGUGAUUAAGGCCCUAGGGUUGUAAAGCUCUUUCACCGGUGAAGAUAAUGACGGUAACCGGAGAAGAAGCCCCGGCUAACUUCGUGCCAGCAGCCGCGGUAAUACGAAGGGGGCUAGCGUUGUUCGGAUUUACUGGGCGUAAAGCGCACGUAGGCGGACUUUUAAGUCAGGGGUGAAAUCCCGGGGCUCAACCCCGGAACUGCCUUUGAUACUGGAAGUCUUGAGUAUGGUAGAGGUGAGUGGAAUUCCGAGUGUAGAGGUGAAAUUCGUAGAUAUUCGGAGGAACACCAGUGGCGAAGGCGGCUCACUGGACCAUUACUGACGCUGAGGUGCGAAAGCGUGGGGAGCAAACAGG